UUAAAACAAAAGAAAUAAAUAUUUAACAAGAAUUUCAGUGAUACCUUUGUGGAAGUCUUCGAUUUCUCCGGUAGUGAUUCGAAGAGACAAUUCACAAUAAAAAGUACGAAAUCUAAAUGUAUAUCGCUCUUUAAUCGGUUAUGAAUUAAUCCUGAGCCGCAUUGAAUAACCCAAUAAUUCCAUCUAUCAUCCACCAAUCCGAACCAGUCUCUUGGCCAUCGGAGAAGAUUGAGAGUCGGGGCGAAACGAUGUACACUUACAAUACUUCCCAGCAAUUCCAAAUUUCUUGGUUCUCUUGGCCGUCAGAAAAGGUUGCGGGGCU
RNAcentral lists this long non-coding RNA (322 nucleotides) under Erythranthe guttata (spotted monkey flower). RNAcentral describes it as "long non-coding RNA (EGUT_LNC002893)". Lineage: Eukaryota; Viridiplantae; Streptophyta; Magnoliopsida; Lamiales; Phrymaceae. The record is from RNAcentral.